AAUAAUAUUUACAUUAGAAAAAUAUUAUUUGAAAAUGCAUUGUUCAAAAUUAUAAAUAAUAUUUUGCUGAUUGUGUAACUUGUUAAAAUAAUAUAUGGUGAAGCAGGCUGCAGUCUAUAUAUCCCUGAUAUAAUAGAACAGCUUUAAAAUGAAUGUUUCAACAGAAUGCCUAUAUCAUUGCCAUAACAACAACUAUGAUAUAAUAUAUAUGUAAUAUAAGUGUAAACUAUAUAUAAGAUAACAGGAAAUAUAUUGCCAGCUAUGCAAAUAAAAUGCUUUUAUUAUAUGGAAAGAUAAGUUUUUAUCUUGUAAUCUUAUAGAUGAUCUGUCAGACCACACACUACACUUAAUUCUUGAUAAGUGCUGUAAGACAAAGGUACAUUUCUUAAAAUGUUUUAAUCACUAUAGUUAACUCUGUCUUUAACUUGCAGGUAUACACAAAAAAUAAUUUUUUCACAGACCUUUAUUCCAGUAUGAUCUUCUGAUCCACCUGUUUACAAGAAAGCAUAAUUAGCUCCUUACACAAAAUACCUCUGUGACUGCUAAAAUUCAUGAAUAUAAUACCAUCCAGUAUAUAAGACCCACAGAUAUUCAAAUUGAAUAAGACCUACAGAUAUUUAGCAAACUUUAUAGAUAGAAUUUAUAAAGAUCUCCCAUAAGUAACAUCCUAAUGUUUAUAAACGAAGUCUAAUAUCUUAUCUUUCUUUUAAUUCCAUAAAAUCAAAACUAAAAAAAAGAAGCGGGAUUAUUGCUUCUACAUAAUAGAUAAAACACAGUAUAUGAUGUCUUACAUAAUGAUAAGACUAAGCUUUUGCAUUUUGCCCAUUCAGGAAUUUAUUCUGGCCCAUAGUGAAGAUCUUGACAGAACAGAUAUAUAUUGGAAGUACAAUGAGAAGCUUAAACAUGCAAAGAACUUAAAAGAGAUAUAUAUUGCCACUGGAAGAAUUUCUAAUGCUCUCUCUCUCAUUAGAUUUUACAAGAUGUUAUUUUGUAUUAACUAGACUCAAGAUAGAAUUAUAGCUGACAUUAGAUCCCUAGAAGAGCUUAAGAUGGCAGAACGUUACAGAUUGCCAAAUAUGCUUCUAUUCAUUACAUCAUUAAUGAUAAUACUCUUGAAAUAUCAUCAUCAUGAUGCUUAAUGCCAUGAGCACUUUUAGAUAAUAAUAGUAUGUUAAUAAUGAGACUGUAUAGUUCAAUAAUAUAUGAAAAAUUAAACCAUAACAUUACUAUUUCCUGUUUUCUUAUGCACAUUUUGUACUUAUGAUAAUAAGAUAUGUUAUGUAUAUAUUAUGACUGGCAGUUGUUAUGGUAAUGAUGUGGCGUUCUGUUGGAACUUAUUUGUUGUAAGCUGUUUUAUUUUAUUGUUUUGUAAAAAGCGGAAGACUUUGUGUUUUAAUCAAUUUUUUUCUAUCUAUCUAUUUCGAGUUUGACAUUUCAAAUUAGCACAAAAUAUAAAUAUCUUGGAAAAUUAAUUGUUA
This 1478-nucleotide long non-coding RNA is filed under the name Androctonus crassicauda. The record is from RNAcentral. Lineage: Eukaryota; Metazoa; Arthropoda; Arachnida; Scorpiones; Buthidae.